RNAcentral lists this non-coding RNA (45 nucleotides) under Schistosoma margrebowiei. Lineage: Eukaryota; Metazoa; Platyhelminthes; Trematoda; Strigeidida; Schistosomatidae. The record is from RNAcentral.
AUGCAGUUGAAGGGUCCCAAAUAGGACUACACGCGCGUCCUGGAU